CUUGAGCAAAGUUGAACCGACAGCGACUGAGAAGAGGCCAGAGAAACCAAAGAGACAGCGUGUGGAUACUUAGAAGAUAAAAUCAUAAGCAAAACUGAUAUGGAAAAAAAGCAAAGUGAUCAAAGUUGUUCAAAUAAAAGUGAAGAAAAUACACCAGAAAGCAAGCCUGCUGAGAAACAGGAAGCAGAAAAUCAACAUCAGGAAGAGAAGUUUGUAUUUUUAUCAACAUUGCUGUGGAUGAUUUGGAACUUUCUUAAUGUCAUUUUUCUGAUCCACAGUAAUAAUCCUGACCAAAACAGUGAUAAACAAAGCAGUGUUGAAGACAUGAAAGAAGAAACCAACAAAGAGCAAAGCG
Poeciliopsis prolifica (blackstripe livebearer) is the source of this 355-nucleotide long non-coding RNA. RefSeq lists it as uncharacterized. The record is from RefSeq and is a predicted model, not a curated record. The transcript is spliced from 5 exons. NCBI's taxonomy places the organism in Eukaryota, Metazoa, Chordata, Actinopteri, Cyprinodontiformes, Poeciliidae.